AUUGAACGCUGGCGGAAUGCUUUACACAUGCAAGUCGAACGGCAGCACGGGGGCAACCCUGGCGGCGAGUGGCGAACGGGUGAGUAAUACAUCGGAACGUGCCCAGUCGUGGGGGAUAACGUAGCGAAAGUUACGCUAAUACCGCAUACGAUCUACGGAUGAAAGCGGGGGACCGUAAGGCCUCGCGCGAUUGGAGCGGCCGAUGUCAGAUUAGGUAGUUGGUGAGGUAAAGGCUCACCAAGCCGACGAUCUGUAGCUGGUCUGAGAGGACGACCAGCCACACUGGGACUGAGACACGGCCCAGACUCCGACGGGAGGCAGCAGUGGGGAAUUUUGGACAAUGGGCGCAAGCCUGAUCCAGCCAUUCCGCGUGCAGGACGAAGGCCUUCGGGUUGUAAACUGCUUUUGUACGGAACGAAAAGGCUCUGGUUAAUACCUGGGGCUCAUGACGGUACCGUAAGAAUAAGCACCGGCUAACUACGUGCCAGCCGCCGCGGUAA
RNAcentral lists this ribosomal RNA (500 nucleotides) under uncultured bacterium. Its description in RNAcentral is "partial 16S ribosomal RNA". It matches the Rfam family "Bacterial small subunit ribosomal RNA", at positions 29 to 523 of the family's 1533-position model. The record is from RNAcentral.